Non-coding RNA from Mus caroli (Ryukyu mouse), 1180 nucleotides. The record is from RefSeq and is a predicted model, not a curated record. Lineage: Eukaryota; Metazoa; Chordata; Mammalia; Rodentia; Muridae.
CCGAGCCCAGGGCCGCCUCGCAGGAGGGAAAGUUCAGCGGCAGCAGGGGAGCAGCGUAGCCGAGGGAGCCGGCUCCGCUGUCUGCAGUGUUGCCUGGGGAGCUAUUGCAUCACACCUGGAGGGACCAGUGCAGCAGCUAUGGACCAGAGAAGGAAGUAGGCGGAAAAGGAGAACACCAUAGCCUGCCUGUGUAGACCUGGGAGGGUGAGGAGCUGAGGCUGAAGCUCCUUGUCUUUUUCUUCUUGGAAGGUCAGUCUACACACUCAGCUCUCUUCUUGCUGUAUUUCGUGACACCACAGCCCUGGGGACUUUCUAUUGCCUCCCAGUGGCUGGAGAACAUUUGUAGCCUUCGAAACGGCUCCUUGCUUAUCGAGCGGAAUACCCGGUGGCAACAGAGAAGUGUCAUCCGAGAAUGCUUAUCAAAGGUUCAGUGUUGGAAACCUGUCUUUAGAUUGGUGAUAUCGAUUUGAGAGGUUCCUUGAUCAUGCAUGACAGAUUGGAGAGUUGUCAUGUGGGUCUACAGUCCUCAGUGUGAGAAGCUUUGAACAACCAUUUCUAUGGCUGGAAUCUUCCAAUGAUCUACUUUUGAUUACCUCUGGGACAUAACCAGUGGUGGCGCUGAGCUGAACACGGUGCUAGCAGAAGGGGGCGGUACUUUCCCUCUGGACCCUGACUUGGAAGCCAAGUGACUCCAGCGCAGUCACCACCAGAAGCAGAUGUGCGAGCGGAACAGCUGUGUGCCUUUCUUUCUGCCGAGGUUAGCUUGUUUGGGUUUGUUCUUUUCCACGUGGAAGUGUGGUGUUUUGCCUUCCUCUGUUCUCAGCCGGGCUUUCGUGCUUUUAGAUAUUGAUGGUUUCAUUUCAAAAAAAAAUAUUUUGCGUUGUACUUAUUAAAGAGGAAGAGGGGUAUAUUCUACUACUUUGGGGGCAUGAUAUGUUCAGAGGAGUUGUGUGUUACAUCCUAAAUCACAUGCAUUUUACCGUUAUUAAAUCUCACUGUAUUUAAAGGAUGGAAAUUUACAGGGGUUGCCUCCCAUUUCUUUUCCUCUUAGCAUUUUAGACUCCUUUUUCCAUUAUAAGAGAAGCCAAGAUCAUUUUUAGCCUUUAAGGACUUAUGUAGCACUUACUCUGGCAGAUAAGUGAAUCUGUUUGUCGCAGGUGACUUAGAAAGCUAACCUUAU